Molecule: non-coding RNA, 84 nt
Organism: Daphnia pulex (common water flea)
Lineage: Eukaryota; Metazoa; Arthropoda; Branchiopoda; Diplostraca; Daphniidae
Source: the annotation of a RefSeq genome assembly
GUCAGGAUGGCCGAGCGGUCUAAGGCGCCAGACUUAAGAUGCUGGUCUUCAGUGAAGGCGUGGGUUCAAAUCCCACUCCUGACA